GCAUUUGUGUCACCUUUCUGGAUCUGUCUCAGUCUCCUCUGUCUCUAGGUGUCUGUGUAUCUUGUGUGUGUGUGAAUAUUUCCAACUCCCUCAAUCUACCUUUUCCCCUCUCUUGUCUCCCUCUCAGGGCAGGGUGCCAUUUGCCGUGCCUGACAAAGUGCUGUGGCCGCAGCUGUGUGAGGCGCUCAACAUGAAAUUCAAGGCCGAAGUGCAGAGCAACCGGGGCCUGACCAAGGAGAACCUCGUGUUCCUAGCACAGAAACUGUUCAACAACAGCAGCAGCCACCUGGAGGACUACAGUGGCCUGUCCGUGUCCUGGUCCCAGUUCAACAGGGAGAACUUGCCGGGCUGGAACUACACCUUCUGGCAGUGGUUUGACGGGGUGAUGGAGGUGUUGAAGAAGCACCACAAGCCCCACUGGAAUGAUGGGGCCAUCCUAGGUUUUGUGAAUAAGCAACAGGCCCACGACCUGCUCAUCAACAAGCCCGAUGGGACCUUCUUGUUGCGCUUUAGUGACUCAGAAAUCGGGGGCAUCACCAUCGCCUGGAAGUUUGACUCCCCGGAACGCAACCUGUGGAACCUGAAACCAUUCACCACGCGGGAUUUCUCCAUCAGGUCCCUGGCUGACCGGCUGGGGGACCUGAGCUAUCUCAUCUAUGUGUUUCCUGACCGCCCCAAGGAUGAGGUCUUCUCCAAGUACUACACUCCUGUGCUGGCUAAAGCUGUUGAUGGAUAUGUGAAACCACAGAUCAAGCAAGUGGUCCCUGAGUUUGUGAACGCAUCUGCAGAUGCUGGGGGCAGCAGCGCCACGUACAUGGACCAGGCCCCCUCCCCAGCUGUGUGCCCCCAGGCUCCCUAUAACAUGUACCCACAGAACCCUGACCAUGUACUCG
RNAcentral lists this small RNA (893 nucleotides) under Pan troglodytes (chimpanzee). RNAcentral's name for it is "retained intron". The record is from RNAcentral. Lineage: Eukaryota; Metazoa; Chordata; Mammalia; Primates; Hominidae.